CACCUUCAAUUGCUUCGCUUUUCUCUAGUCACAUCGACCUAGAUGUAGAGGAAGACCAACAAAUGGAGUCGUUUGACCAUAUGAUGUCUCACUCCGUCACUGCUUAUGUGUGUUUCUUGCGUGAUAGAUGCGGAAGCGAUAGGUAGGUAAGCAAGGCGGAGGGUCGGGUGGCUCUAGCACUCCGGCGGCAAAGACAGGCCACCCUUUUAGAAGCGUUGAUACAACUGACUGGCGAUCGGUCACCACUACCACUAAUCUCCUUCUUCCACCGUUGCUUACGGUGUUCUCUUUUUCCUCUCCCAAUGAAAUUCAUUCUUUACAGGCAUCCCUUUUGAUCUUCCAACUUUUAUCUCUCCGUCUAUUCCACACUAUCUGGGUUUAUUUCCGGAUCUGACUUCAUUUUUUUUGUUCGUUUCCGACUUCUUGGGGUUUAUCCUUCCGCCUUGUCGUCAAGUGAGGGUUUAUCGAUUAAUUUUACCGUCCGUUUUUCAUUUCGAUUUUCUCCAUAAGGGUAACGUUUCACUUAAGGAUUUAUUUUCCCUUUUUUGAAAUCGCAAUUGGACUUGAAUGGCUGCUGGUCACCAGAUAUAUAAUAAUCUACUUCUUGUCUGAUGGGUCUAUUUCUUUUUCUUUUAUUUGAUUGGUUUUGAUUUCUGUUUGCUUAAGUAGCUUUCAGACCAUCAGCAAGAACAACUGUAGUCUCUACCUGUGGAGCUUUGGGAAUCAUGAAGAGAUAACGUCGAAGUUAUCAACGUCUCUCAAUUCCUGUGGAUAAAAACCCUCAAGGCAGCUUCAGUCGAGGACAUGAUUCAUAUAAGAGCAUCGUCUUCCUUUUUAUGACUUUCAAAUUUCAGUUCUUAUCCUUAUGGCACCAUAUUUGUGCUUAUGUUGGCUUUUUUUUUGGGCUGUUUGAAUCUCAGAUUGUUAAUGACUUCAUUUGAAGAUCAUUGAGCUUAGGAUUCCAGUUUGUUAAUAGGGUGAUAAAG
RNAcentral lists this long non-coding RNA (986 nucleotides) under Lactuca sativa (garden lettuce). RNAcentral's name for it is "long non-coding RNA (LSAT_LNC008670)". The record is from RNAcentral. Lineage: Eukaryota; Viridiplantae; Streptophyta; Magnoliopsida; Asterales; Asteraceae.